GACGAACGCUGGCGGCGUGCUUAACACAUGCAAGUCGAACGAUGAAGCCCAGCUUGCUGGGUGGAAGAGUGGCGAACGGGUGAGUAACACGUGAGUAACCUGCCCUGAACUCUGGGAUAAGCACUGGAAACGGUGUCUAAUACUGGAUACGCCCUAUCACCGCAUGGUGUGUGGGUGGCAAGAUUAGUCGGUUCUGGAUGGACUCGCGGCCUAUCAGCUAGAUGGGGGGGUAAUGGCUCACCAUGGCGACGAGGGGCAGCCGGCCUGGGAGGGUGACCGGCCACACGGGGACUGAGACACGGCCCAGACGCCAACGGGGGGCAGCGGGGGGGAGUAUUACACAGUGGGGGCAGGCCUGAUGCAGCAGCGCCGGGUGGGGAAUGACGGCCUUCGGGUUGUAAACGUCUUUUAGUAGGGAAGAAGCGAAAGUGACGGUACCUGCAGAAGAAGCACCGGCUAACUACGUG
Molecule: ribosomal RNA, 467 nt
Filed under: uncultured bacterium
Lineage: Bacteria
Description: partial 16S ribosomal RNA
Rfam family: Bacterial small subunit ribosomal RNA
Source: RNAcentral